Molecule: ribosomal RNA, 323 nt
Filed under: uncultured eukaryote
Lineage: Eukaryota
Description: partial 18S ribosomal RNA
Rfam family: Eukaryotic small subunit ribosomal RNA
Source: RNAcentral
CCCUUAGAUGUUCUGGGCCGCACGCGUGCUACACUGAACGGUUCAAUGGGUAAGGUAGUGCGAAAGCAUGACCUAAUCUCGAAAUCCGUUCGUGCUGGGGAUAGAAGCUUGUAAUUAUCCUUCUUGAACGAGGAAUACCUUGUAAGCGUGAGUCAUCAUCUCACGCUGAAUACGUCCCUGCCCUUUGUACACACCGCCCGUCGCUCCUACCGAUUGAGUGUUCCGGUGAGGCUUUGGGAGAAUGGCCUCAACAUGAGUUUAUCGUGUUUUGCCGUUUGAACUUAGUCAAACCUUAUCACUUAGAGGAAGGAGGAGUCGUAACA